GUGGGGAAUAUUGGGCAAUGGGCGGAAGCCUGACCCAGCGACGCCGCGUGGGGGAAGAAGUCUUUCGGGAUGUAAACCCUUGUUGUACGGGACGAAGGAAGUGACGGUACCGUACGAGGAAGCCCCGGCAAACUACGUGCCAGCAGCCGCGGUAAUACGUAGGGGGCGAGCGUUGUCCGGAAUCACUGGGCGUAAAGCGCACGUAGGCGGGCUGUCAAGUCGGCCGUGAAAGGCACGGGCUCAACCUGUGCAUGUCGGUCGAUACUGGCGGUCUGGAGUAUGGGAGAGGGAACUGGAAUUCCCGGUAUAGCGGUGAAAUGCGUAGAUAUCGGGAGGAACACCAGUGGCGAAGGCGGGUUCCUGGCCCAUGACUGACGCUGAGGUGCGAAAGCCGGGGGAGCGAACGGGAUUAGAAACCCUAGUAGUCC
Molecule: ribosomal RNA, 428 nt
Filed under: uncultured bacterium
Lineage: Bacteria
Description: partial 16S ribosomal RNA
Rfam family: Bacterial small subunit ribosomal RNA
Source: RNAcentral